This 2918-nucleotide ribosomal RNA is filed under the name Staphylococcus sp. M0911. RNAcentral describes it as "bacterial LSU rRNA". It matches the Rfam family "Bacterial large subunit ribosomal RNA". The record is from RNAcentral. Lineage: Bacteria; Bacillati; Bacillota; Bacilli; Caryophanales; Staphylococcaceae.
UUAAGUUAUUAAGGGCGCACGGUGGAUGCCUUGGCACUAGAAGCCGAUGAAGGACGUUACUAACGACGAUAUGCUUUGGGGAGCUGUAAGUAAGCGUUGAUCCAGAGAUUUCCGAAUGGGGAAACCCAACAUGAGUUAUGUCAUGUUAUCGAUAUGUGAAUACAUAGCAUAUCAGAAGGCAGACCCGGAGAACUGAAACAUCUUAGUACCCGGAGGAAGAGAAAGAAAAAUCGAUUCCCUGAGUAGCGGCGAGCGAAACGGGAAGAGCCCAAACCAACAAGCUUGCUUGUUGGGGUUGUAGGACACUCUAUACGGAGUUACAAAAGUAUAUAUUAGACGAAUCAUCUGGAAAGUUGAAUCAAAGAAGGUAAUAAUCCUGUAGUCGAAAAUAUAUACUCUCUUGAGUGGAUCCUGAGUACGACGGAGCACGUGAAAUUCCGUCGGAAUCUGGGAGGACCAUCUCCUAAGGCUAAAUACUCUCUAGUGACCGAUAGUGAACCAGUACCGUGAGGGAAAGGUGAAAAGUACCCCGGAAGGGGAGUGAAAGAGAACUUGAAACCGUGUGCUUACAAGUAGUCAGAGCCCGUUAAUGGGUGAUGGCGUGCCUUUUGUAGAAUGAACCGGCGAGUUACGAUUUGAUGCAAGGUUAAGCAGCUAAUGUGGAGCCGUAGCGAAAGCGAGUCUGAAUAGGGCGUUUAGUAUUUGGUCGUAGACCCGAAACCAGGUGAUCUACCCUUGGUCAGGUUGAAGUUCAGGUAACACUGAAUGGAGGACCGAACCGACUUACGUUGAAAAGUGAGCGGAUGAACUGAGGGUAGCGGAGAAAUUCCAAUCGAACUUGGAGAUAGCUGGUUCUCUCCGAAAUAGCUUUAGGGCUAGCCUCAAGUGAUGAUUAUUGGAGGUAGAGCACUGUUUGGACGAGGGGCCCUUCUCGGGUUACCGAAUUCAGACAAACUCCGAAUGCCAAUCAAUUUAACUUGGGAGUCAGAACAUGGGUGAUAAGGUCCGUGUUCGAAAGGGAAACAGCCCAGACCACCAGCUAAGGUCCCAAAAUAUAUGUUAAGUGGAAAAGGAUGUGGCGUUGCGCAGACAACUAGGAUGUUGGCUUAGAAGCAGCCAUCAUUUAAAGAGUGCGUAAUAGCUCACUAGUCGAGUGACACUGCGCCGAAAAUGUACCGGGGCUAAACAUAUUACCGAAGCUGUGGAUUGUCCGUAGGACAAUGGUAGGAGAGCGUUCUAAGGGCGUCGAAGCAUGAUCGCAAGGACAUGUGGAGCGCUUAGAAGUGAGAAUGCCGGUGUGAGUAGCGAAAGACGGGUGAGAAUCCCGUCCACCGAUUGACUAAGGUUUCCAGAGGAAGGCUCGUCCGCUCUGGGUUAGUCGGGUCCUAAGCUGAGGCCGACAGGCGUAGGCGAUGGAUAACAGGUUGAUAUUCCUGUACCACCUAGUAUCGUUUUAAUCGAUGGGGGGACGCAGUAGGAUAGGCGAAGCGUGCUAUUGGAUUGCACGUCCAAGCAGUAAGACUGAGUGUUAGGCAAAUCCGGCACUCAUAAGGUCAAGCUGUGAUGGGGAGAGGAAAUUGUUUCCUCGAGUCGUUGAUUUCACACUGCCAAGAAAAGCCUCUAGAUAGAUAACAGGUGCCCGUACCGCAAACCGACACAGGUAGUCAAGAUGAGAAUUCUAAGGUGAGCGAGCGAACUCUCGUUAAGGAACUCGGCAAAAUGACCCCGUAACUUCGGGAGAAGGGGUGCUCUUUAGGGUUAACGCCCAGAAGAGCCGCAGUGAAUAGGCCCAAGCGACUGUUUAUCAAAAACACAGGUCUCUGCUAAACCGUAAGGUGAUGUAUAGGGGCUGACGCCUGCCCGGUGCUGGAAGGUUAAGAGGAGUAGUUAGCUUCUGCGAAGCUACGAAUCGAAGCCCCAGUAAACGGCGGCCGUAACUAUAACGGUCCUAAGGUAGCGAAAUUCCUUGUCGGGUAAGUUCCGACCCGCACGAAAGGCGUAACGAUUUGGGCACUGUCUCAACGAGAGACUCGGUGAAAUCAUAGUACCUGUGAAGAUGCAGGUUACCCGCGACAGGACGGAAAGACCCCGUGGAGCUUUACUGUAGCCUGAUAUUGAAAUUCGGCACAGCUUGUACAGGAUAGGUAGGAGCCUUUGAAACGUGAGCGCUAGCUUACGUGGAGGCAUUGGUGGGAUACUACCCUAGCUGUGUUGGCUUUCUAACCCGCACCACUUAUCGUGGUGGGAGACAGUGUCAGGUGGGCAGUUUGACUGGGGCGGUCGCCUCCUAAAAGGUAACGGAGGCGCUCAAAGGUUCCCUCAGAAUGGUUGGAAAUCAUUCAUAGAGUGUAAAGGCAUAAGGGAGCUUGACUGCGAGACUUACAAGUCGAGCAGGGUCGAAAGACGGACUUAGUGAUCCGGUGGUUCCGCAUGGAAGGGCCAUCGCUCAACGGAUAAAAGCUACCCCGGGGAUAACAGGCUUAUCUCCCCCAAGAGUUCACAUCGACGGGGAGGUUUGGCACCUCGAUGUCGGCUCAUCGCAUCCUGGGGCUGUAGUCGGUCCCAAGGGUUGGGCUGUUCGCCCAUUAAAGCGGUACGCGAGCUGGGUUCAGAACGUCGUGAGACAGUUCGGUCCCUAUCCGUCGUGGGCGUAGGAAAUUUGAGAGGAGCUGUCCUUAGUACGAGAGGACCGGGAUGGACAUACCUCUGGUGUACCAGUUGUCGUGCCAACGGCAUAGCUGGGUAGCUAUGUAUGGACGGGAUAAGUGCUGAAAGCAUCUAAGCAUGAAGCCCCCCUCAAGAUGAGAUUUCCCAACUUCGGUUAUAAGAUCCCUCAAAGAUGAUGAGGUUAAUAGGUUCGAGGUGGAAGCGUGGUGACACGUGGAGCUGACGAAUACUAAUCGAUCGAAGACUUAAUC